GUCCAGAUGAACUAUCAUCUUGGAGACACUCUGGUGAACCACAUGUGAUAUAGGUGAGCUAUCACCUAGUCGACAGUCAGGAGGACAAUAAUUAUCCAGGUGAGCGAUCAUCUAGUUGACUGUCAGGAAGAUAACACAUGACACAGGUGAGCUAUCACCUAGUCAACAGUCAGGAGGACAAGAAUUAUCCAGGUGAGCCAUCAUCCAGUUGACUGUCAGGAAGAUAACACAUGACACAGGUGAGCUAUCACCUAUCCGACAGUCAGGAGGACAACAAUUAUCCAGGUGAGCAAUCAUCUAGUUGACUGUCAGGAAGAUAACACAUGAUACAGGUAAGCUAUCACCUAGUCGACAGAGAGGAGGACAACAAUUAUCCAGGUGAGCUAUCACCUAGUUGACUGUCAGGAAGAUAACACAUGACACAGGUGAGUUAUCACCUAGCAGACUGUCAGGAAGACAACA
Long non-coding RNA from Haliotis rubra (blacklip abalone), 462 nucleotides. RefSeq lists it as uncharacterized. Lineage: Eukaryota; Metazoa; Mollusca; Gastropoda; Lepetellida; Haliotidae. The transcript has 6 exons. The record is from RefSeq and is a predicted model, not a curated record.